AGCUAUUAUGGCGGCUGUAGUGGCAUUGUUCAUGUAUGUUGAAGAAAUAUUUCGUUGUAGGCGCUUACCUUCGAAGUUUUAAAGUUAGCAGAUUGCACGGCAACUGAUUGGUGGAGCUGCGCGGUUUUGACGCACAAGAUGCUGUCAAGAGCUAUGCCUUUUGGAGCAGAAGGAGAGAUCAACCAGCAGAUGAUAUUUGAGACACCACGUGGGUUGACAUCAGGGCAAAGGCGAUAUUUCUGCCAUAUUUCCUGCUUCUCGAUGACAACAUUGUCGAUGAUGAUGAUGAAGACCAGUCUGGCGUGGAUGCUCACCCUCAGUUACUAGGCACUCAGCCUCACUUUCAAGUUUCUCAUUUGUUUCACCUCCUCUGGAUGAAAUCCGCAAGCAGCGCCCAACCACAGUGAUAACAACCUCCAUUGCUUUUUAAGCUUGUAUCUGAUAGAUGCAUUGCAAAUUAUAAAGUUA
Zootermopsis nevadensis is the source of this 468-nucleotide non-coding RNA. Lineage: Eukaryota; Metazoa; Arthropoda; Insecta; Blattodea; Termopsidae. The record is from RefSeq and is a predicted model, not a curated record.